CUGUGCUCUGUUAGAACAGGUUUCAGAAGCCUCGAAAGCUACAAAUCUCCACCCACAUUUUCACCUGUGAAGACAUUUCACAUCACUUCUUCUUAGAAACGCGCCACUUUCUUCCCUUUCUUGGAGUCUAUUGUGGUGCAAUUGGAAAUACCAUGAUGAUGAUGAUGAAAGGCAAACUCUCCCAUAGCACCUCGCAUCCUGUACAAAGGUGUCCUACUUAUGUCGACAGCUGUGUUGUUUCUCUGUGUUAAAGCUGGGAAAGCAGAACGUACUGGUAGUGAGACACUACCGAGAUACAGGCCGCCCUCAUUUCGCAGC
This is a long non-coding RNA of Larimichthys crocea (large yellow croaker), 318 nucleotides long. RefSeq lists it as uncharacterized. Lineage: Eukaryota; Metazoa; Chordata; Actinopteri; Sciaenidae. The transcript has 4 exons. The record is from RefSeq and is a predicted model, not a curated record.